This 372-nucleotide ribosomal RNA is filed under the name Triticum aestivum (bread wheat). RNAcentral's name for it is "partial small subunit ribosomal RNA". Lineage: Eukaryota; Viridiplantae; Streptophyta; Magnoliopsida; Poales; Poaceae. The record is from RNAcentral.
AUGUGCUCGCAUCCGCUUAGAAGCACAACAAAUUCUGCCAUGUUAUCAACAGCAAUUCCUAAGAUUUCCAAGGCACCACGUGACUCGAUGUGUGUGACCUUAUCAGUUGUUGACCUAGAAUGCUUGGCUAAACAGAAGCGGUUGCUAGAGGGGUCAUUACUGCUAACCUCAUCAAAGCCAACACUUUUUUGCACGGCUUGGUACCUCAAGAUGUCCAACAUGCGGUGUCCUCCAUACAUGGCCUCUGAGAGCAUCUUGAACUGCAUCAUCAUCCCGGUGUUGGGUGAUGUACCGCGCAUCCGCCUCCUCGACCACGGUGGCUACUCUCAUCAGGAGGUGCUGCAAUGUCUCCGCCACAUUUUCCUCCUCUAA